RNAcentral lists this ribosomal RNA (740 nucleotides) under uncultured bacterium. RNAcentral's name for it is "bacterial SSU rRNA". It matches the Rfam family "Bacterial small subunit ribosomal RNA", at positions 8 to 722 of the family's 1533-position model. The record is from RNAcentral.
AGAGUUUGAUCAUGGCUCAGAACGAACGCUGGCGGCGUGCUUAAUACAUGCAAGUCGAGCGAGAAAGUUCCCUUCGGGGGAUGAGUACAGCGGCGAACGGGUGCGUAACACGUGGGCAACCUGCCCCUAAGUUCGGGACAAGCUUCCGAAAGGAGGUCUAAUACCGGAUGUGGUUGCUGGAAGGCAUCUUCCGGCAAGCAAAGAUAGCCACUACUCGUAAGCUAUCGCUUAGGGAUGGGCCCGCGGCCCAUUAGCUUGUUGGUGAGGUAACGGCUCACCAAGGCUCCGAUGGGUAGCCGGCCUGAGAGGGUGAUCGGCCACACUGGGACUGAGAUACGGCCCAGACUCCUACGGGAGGCAGCAGUAGGGAAUAUUGCGCAAUGGACGCAAGUCUGACGCAACAACGCCGCGUGAGCGAUGAAGGUCUUCGGAUCGUAAAGCUCUGUCAGAGGGGACGAACCGUUCCGUGCUUAAUAAGCACGGGGCCUGACGGUACCCUCAGAGGAAGCACCGGCCAACCCCGUGCCAGCAGCCGCGGUAAUACGGGGGGUGCGAGCGUUGUUCGGAUUUACUGGGCGUAAAGGGCGUGCAGGCGGGUCGACAAGUCCUGUGUGUAAUCUCCCGGCUCAACCGGGAAACUGCAUGGGAAACUAUUGAUCUUGAGUGCGAGAGAGGAUGGCGGAAUUCCUGGUGUAGCGGUGAAAUGCGUAGAUAUCAGGAGGAACACCGGUGGCGAAGGC